Triticum urartu is the source of this 1606-nucleotide non-coding RNA. The record is from RefSeq and is a predicted model, not a curated record. NCBI's taxonomy places the organism in Eukaryota, Viridiplantae, Streptophyta, Magnoliopsida, Poales, Poaceae.
CCUCGUUUGUAUCUCAUACUUUGUAUUGAAUUUUUCGGCAUGUUUUUAUCAAUUUUGUUGUAUCAUUAAGAAUUGAGUUUAAAUUCUAAUUUAUGGUGCAAUUGAGACUUAUUUUGUAUGAUUUAGUAUAUUUUUAGGUAGCUAUAGCCUUAUGGACGCUAAGUUUUUCCCUUGCGCUAUUUUUUUCUAGGCAUACUGAUGAUAUAUUCUUAAUGAAGUCUGCCAAAGGUAGUUUUCACCAUAUUUUUGAAGCAGACCCAUAUGCUAGGAUGAACUGAACUGAACUAAGCUUUGCCUUUGACUUUUUGAUCAUUUUCUGGUUGUCCUGGUGAACAUAGAGACACUUAAAAUGUUUUAAUUGGAUUCUGGUGCAACCUCGCUGUCUUGCUCCUCACCGAGGGAUAUACCAUUUGUCCAAAAGUAUCAAGCAUUGCACGUAAAGUGGACAACCUAUUCGGUACUGAAACAAUAUAUGUAGCAUGUAUGAAGCUGAAUCAUGCUUAUAACACUGAAGAACACAGCAACUUCAAUAAUGCAAGUAAGUAGCUGCAGUCUUCCAGGAUUUUUGAUAAAUAAAUCAGCAAGUGCCACUCACCCAAGUUGUCUUUUCAGCGUAUCCUACCAUGCGCCAAUGAGGCAAGUGGUAGUGUAUCCUAAAAAUCUCUUUUUCCUGAAGGUGUAAACACAUGCAGCAACUGAUCGUGUGCAUUAGAAAUUUAGAAUGCACUGUUUGAUAAUUACUCUCUUAGGCCCUGCUUGCUAACUUUGAAAAAAUAUGCGACCGGCUACCCUUCAACAACUGCCAGUCACUUGGGGACUGUUUGAUUUCUAGCCAAAUGUUGCCAGAUCUAUGGUUAGGCACACAUCACCUUCUGAGGUGAGUGAAUGUUCGGUUGGCUGACACAGUUGUGGCUUGCGACUUUACUAGUCACUUGAUUAAGGAGUAUAUUUUGGCCACACUUUUGUGGCAAGCCACACUCUGUCCCGAGGGGUAAUAAUUACUACUUUUGGCUUAGCUGUGUCAAAGUAAGCUUUUAACCAAACUAGGGUGUUAAAUUGGUCUUAAGUUUCAAUCUUGUAUUGUAGAUCAUCACAUAUGGUCUAUGUUUCCUGUUCAAUGAUGACUUAUCUGACUCGUUAAUGAGUCUACUUAAUAUCCUUUUCAACUUUGCUGGCUAGUUGGAACAAAAGGUUUUACAAAGUGAUGGACCAACUAUUACAGAAAAGGUAAGAGCUUUGGCUGCAAAACCCAACAGAUACGGGGUGCGCUAUAGUGGCUAUGUCAUCAACAACUUCAGGUUCCACACGAUGAGUCAUGAGUCAGGGCAUGUCACACAAAAUAGUGGUGUAGUGAACAUUGCAGAAAAUGGUGUUAGAUAUUAUGGCAGAUUAAGUGACAUCUUUAAAUUGUCAUACAAUGAUUACAAGGUGGUGUUCUUUAAUUGUGAUUGGUAUGAUGUCUACCAUAAAGUUGGCAUUCAAACGGAUGAGUUUGGGUUCAUCUUGUGAACAAGUCUGGGAAAAUACACACAUGAGAUGAGCUAGAGGAUGAUCCUUUUGUAUUUUCCUCCAAGUGCAGUAGGUUUUCUAUGUUCAAGAUCCAAAA